This 436-nucleotide ribosomal RNA is filed under the name Microdipoena nyungwe. RNAcentral's name for it is "partial 16S ribosomal RNA". Lineage: Eukaryota; Metazoa; Arthropoda; Arachnida; Araneae; Mysmenidae. The record is from RNAcentral.
UGUUUAAUUUUUUUUUUAAAUAAAGCCUGCUCAAUGAAAAUUAAAUAGCCGCAGAAUUUUAACUGUGCUAAGGUAGCAUAAUCAUUAGAUUUUUAAUUAAAAUCUAGAAUGAAAGGUUUAACUUUUAUUUACUUUAUUAAAUUCACUUAAUUUAAAUUAUAUUAAAAAUAAAAAUAUUUUUAUACCCUAAUAGACGACAAGACCCUAUUGAACUUAACUUUAGUUAAGCUGGGGCAGCUAGUUAAAAACAAUUUUAAUUUUAUUAAUAUAAUAAAAACCUAAUAUUAUUAAAUAAAUAAGUUACCAUAGGGAUAACAGCGUAAUUUUUUAUAAAAGUUCUUAUUAAAUAUAAAGAUUGMGACCUCGAUGUUGAAUUAUUUACCUAKUAAGAGCAAAAUCUUAAAAAGGGAGUCUGUUCGACUUUUAAAUAUUUACA